UUUAUUGGAGAGCAAAUCUAAGAGCAGAUGGAUUAGCAAGCAAUCCAUCACUCCCCAGCUUUGCCAUUGCCAGCUGAAACGCCUUCUCUGUGCUUCAACGUUGCAGCUGGGAGACAGAUUUAUAACGUGGUCAUCUAUCUACUCUCAGCUGCCAUCCAUAAAAGUAUUUCUUUUCGAACGUGAUACACUGGGAGGAAAGUUCCAUUGUGCAAGUACAAGGAUACGAGUGCUGCGCACUUUCUCACCAGCCCAUGUCCCACGCUGUAGGACUUAUGGGAGACGGGCGUCUCCCCAGGAAGUAUUUCCCUGCCAACUUGUGUUUUGAAUGGAGAAGCAGCACUCAGGUUCUUUUAUAAUCCAUUGUCUGUGGCUGUCUCCAUUUUAUCGCAACAUUAUUAUGCUCCCUAUAUGUUUUUUUUUUAAAAAAAUCUGAUUCAUUUGCCCAGCCCGUAAUGCAAGUCACUGGCCUGCCUUGGGAAGCCUUGCUGCUCCAGGAAGUUCUUUGCUUAUGGAAGGCAGCCCAUCGUCUGCCGCCGCUGACUGAGUGCUGUUGGCACGUGGAUAUAAGUAAUGGGGAUCUGUUGGAGGGAUCCUGACAAAAACAUGCCAGAGUUUGCAGCUUCCUGGGGGUGGUUUGUCCCUACGUUCACCUGGUGUGCAACCUGCCAGGUUUGCGUUUUCCCUGCGAGGGGGUUCUCCUCUCUUGGGCCUGGCUUAUAGUCACGCACAGCCCUUUGGUGUCAGUGCAGCUCAAAGGCCUAGACGCACAAAAGCACCACAAAAGAAACCAAAACAAACACAGGAGAUUGUACAUAGCAAACCCAUCUGCAAGUGAAGAGCUGGAGGGUAAUGUGGCUGCAACAAGAGUAGGGAUGACUAGUCACCCCUGCGCAAGGAGGGUGUUGUAGCAGCAAACGGGCAUGCGUGGGCAGUCCAGCUGCUGUGUCAGCUUUUGGCAGAAAAUGCAGAUAUGGUCCUGGGGUAUCUUGAGAGGCAGCACAACUGUAACUGCAUCACUUGGGGAGCAAGGAGCUAGGAUUGAAUUUGAGGGCUCAUUGUAAGUCAGCUGUCCCACAAGAAUUUCACAAGCCAAAAAUGACAAUAGAAAAACCUUUCUCUAACGGUUACCUCUCCACCCUGCUUCUCUUGCAAUCUCCAGGCCAUUCAUGAUGUGCAUCCCUUAGUCAAUGCUUUCACAGACUCCUGGUGCUCUGCUGGACCUUGCGAUUCAGUCAGCAUCUCUCCUGCUGACAUCAACCACUCAGGCAUUGGGAUAAGGCAAAGUUUGCCCGCCUGAGCUGCGGUAGAAGAGGAACCAAAGGACUUCGAUCAACUGGAUACUCAAGGUGCUCUGGGAGCUUCUGUUGGCUAUUUCUACCUUCAAAGCCCCCUGAAUGCAGAAGAGGCCUUCAUCACCUCCAUGUUCACCCACACACGCUCUUCAUCAAUGCCAUACUGAAUGUUAAACUGCUGCUGUGAAGCCAUCUCGAAGAGAAAUUUGAAAUGAGACUGAGGCUCCCUGUGUCCUUGAUUGCCUGCAAGCCUCUAGCCUUCAUACGAAGGAUGGUGAAGGGUGAACACUGACCUCCCUUUUCCAGGGGAGCCAGUACACAUGAAAUGUUUUCUUCACGAUGUGCUUUCUCCCGAGCUGGGGAAUAACCUUGGAUCAGGAUUUCCCUCGUUGGCUCCCCCAGGGCUUCCUCCUGCCUCGGCUUGCCUAGACCUUAUCUAAGAACGUUUGAGGUUGGAAGGGGCCUCUGGAGUUCAUCUGGUCCAACCUCCUUGCUCAAGUAUGGCUACCUAGAACAGGCUGCCCAAGACCAUGUCCAGCUGGCUUUUGACUAUCUCCAGUGAUGGAGACUCCACAACUUUUCUGGCAACCUGUCCCAGCGCUUGGUCACCCUCACAGUAAAAAAGUGUUUGCUGAUGUUCAAGCAGAACCUCCUGUGUUUCAGUUUGCGCCCAUUGCCUCUGGUCCCGUCACUGGCCACCACUGCAAAGAGCCUGGCUCCAUCUUCUUGGCACCCUUCCUUCAGACUGGAUCAGAGGUAAGAGAACAACAGACAAGUCAACACUAGUACACCUCAGACAAUUAAACAAGGAGAAAGCACCCCCACAACCAGACAAAAGCAAAACGAACACAAGCACAGGAGAAGAAGACAGUGCGACGGCAGACUUUACAGACAACCGAGCUGCGAGCGACAGUAGCAACCUCACUUGGACAGAGGAACAAGAGACCACAAAGUCAGACGUUGUUGACAUUGCAAUCAAACAAUAGGAGGCCACUGGCAGAGUCAAGGAAUCCAUGGAAGAAACCAGCAGUUUCUGAUAAUAUUCAUCAUCCUUUCGUUCUGGAUGUUUUCCCCAUUUAAGCACAAGCCCUCUCAAUACAAAAUGAUCGAUGAAGGACAAAUGAUUGGGAUUCAGGGCUACCACCUUAAAUUCUUGGGGCUAGUGCCUCCCUCCCUUAUUCCUCUCAAUAAAAAUCUCUCUCUUCCCACUGCAGCCAGCAGGGCUACUGCUGACUGCUGCCCAGCAUGUGCAAAAGCAAUGCAGUCUGGGUGCAUUCAUUUGCUUUUCUCCCCCAGCAGAACAUGACUGCUCCAGGAAUCGGAUACCACUGUGCCGUCUAGGUACACACGGGCUUUAUCAACUCCUUCGGGCAACUCUGACUGGAAGCGAAGGAGGUCUUGGGAUGUGGAGGUUGGUUUCAGACACUUGCUAGCUACCUCGAAACCCACACCUAAGCUGCGACCAGGGGAAGCGAAGGCAAAACCAUGUUAGAGCUUCCUCGUACUUUGAUUCAACCCAUUAUUGGGACGUUUGAUGCCGUAGACGAGUUUGGCUUCAGGCCCACGCCUCUCUGUGUUCCUCAAGCCAAGCCCAACCUGCUGCUGAAGUGCUAUUCCAGCUUGGAGCAGUAGCGGGAGGAGAUAUGUGGCUGUUUACGUGCAGGAAGAGUGGGACUGUUAACAGGACCCUCUCGCUGCACUGUUUCUCAGGGUGGUAUUAACCAGCGCCCCAGGCUCUCACCCUCUAAAAAGAGGGGCAGAGUAGCUCCUUUCCUCCCAGGCAAGGGGGGGGGGUCGUGCUUAUGCAGCAGAGGGGUAUGAUCAGGGUGCAAGUCAGAUCUAACACCAUUCAGCUCGAUACGCUUCUCCCCGCACACCAGGAGGGACUCCUCUCUAGCAUUAGUGAAGAAUAACAGCACUGACAUCAGCAAGGUACCACCAAUAUAAAAGUGGCGUAACCCAGCCGGCACCAGCCCUGUUAAAUGGACUAAUACCUUAUAGUGCUGUUCCCCUGGUACUAAGAUUUCUUGGAUCGCUUAAGGCAGGUUUCAGGGUAUAGCAAUGCAAACGACAAAUCAGUUAUAUAUUCCCAGGCCUUCCUUCCCCCCCAGCAACUCCCCAAAACAUGAACCAAAGCAAAAGAGACACUGUGCCUUCACGACCAGCUGGCAGCAGUCCCCAUCCAAACCUGUGACCAGCCAAGCCAUUCUAGCAACGGAAGGAACAGAGCACAGCAAAACCAAGCCAAAGGACCAAAGAAACGGGGGACUUGAGCUCCUGGAUGAGAAACUCUGCAUCUUCUUCAUGUUGUCCCACCUCCGUACCCUCGGCCAACAUUCCCCAGAGGGUAGCUGGAUGUGCAGGACAGCCGUGAAUGCCAGGGAAAGGGGGGUUGAAAGUAUAAUGCAAAUCUCUUUUCUCUUUUUUGUUUGUUUUUGUUUGUCUGCUUUUUACAUAUAUACACAAGUCUGACAAUAAAAUGUGGAACACA
Molecule: long non-coding RNA, 3783 nt
Organism: Aquila chrysaetos chrysaetos
Lineage: Eukaryota; Metazoa; Chordata; Aves; Accipitriformes; Accipitridae
Exons: 5
Source: RefSeq, a predicted model, not a curated record